This 461-nucleotide RNase P RNA is filed under the name Scytonema sp. HK-05. Its description in RNAcentral is "RNase P RNA component class A". It matches the Rfam family "Bacterial RNase P class A". Rfam says of the family: Ribonuclease P (RNase P) is a ubiquitous endoribonuclease, found in archaea, bacteria and eukarya as well as chloroplasts and mitochondria. Its best characterised activity is the generation of mature 5'-ends of tRNAs by cleaving the 5'-leader elements of precursor-tRNAs. Lineage: Bacteria; Bacillati; Cyanobacteriota; Cyanophyceae; Nostocales; Scytonemataceae. RNAcentral also lists the same sequence under 1 other name. The record is from RNAcentral.
AGAGUAGGCGCAGGCGGUUGCAGAUCAGUUUCGUUGAAGCUGGUUUGAGGAAAGUCCGGGCUCCCGAAAGACCAAACCUGCUGGGUAACGCCCAGUGCGAGCGAUCGCGAGGAUAGUGCCACAGAAAGAUACCGCCAAAAUCAGUGAACAGUUAUCAGUAAACAGUAAACAGGGAAUACCUGAUAACUGAUAACUGAUACCUGAUAACUGAAAAAGGUAAGGGUGCAAAGGUGCGGUAAGAGCGCACCAGCACGACCGAGAGGUCGUGGCUCGGUAAACCCCGGUUGGGAGCAAGGUCACAAGGAACUACGGUUGGUCUUUUACCAGUUCCGUCAUAAGAGCCGCUUGAGGCGUCUGGUAACAGGCGUCCCAGAUAGAUAACUGCCCUCUAAAUGUAGAGACGUAGUAUGCUACAUUUCUACAAAAGAGAACAGAACCCGGCUUACGUUCCGACUCUCUCC